Molecule: ribosomal RNA, 253 nt
Filed under: uncultured bacterium
Lineage: Bacteria
Description: partial 16S ribosomal RNA
Rfam family: Bacterial small subunit ribosomal RNA
Source: RNAcentral
UACGGAGGGAGCAAGCGUUAAUCGGAAUUACUGGGCGUAAAGCGUGCGUAGACGGUUAUUUAAGUCGGGUGUGAAGGCCCCGGGCUCAACCUGGGAAUUGCAUUCGAGACUGAAUAGCUAGGGUACGGUAGAGGGAAGCGGAAUUUCCGGUGUAGCGGUGAAAUGCGUAGAUAUCGGAAGGAACAUCAGUGGCGAAAGCGGCUUCCUGGACCAGUACCGACGUUCAGGCACGAAAGCGUGGGGAGCAAACAGG